UAACGAGCGCAACCCUUAUCGUUAGUUGCCAUCUGGUAAUGCAGGGGACUCUAGCGAACUGCCACCGUAAGGUGAGGAGGAAGUGGGAUGACGUCAAAUCAGCACGGCCCUUAUGUCCAGGGCUACACACGUGUUACAAUGGUCGGUACAGAGGGCAGCUACCUGGUGACAGGAUGCUAAUCUCGAAAACCGGUCUCAGUUCGGAUCGAAGUCUGCAACUCGACUUCGUGAAGCUGGAUUCGCUAGUAAUCGCGCAUCAGCUAUGGCGCGGUGAAUACGUCCCCGGGCCUU
RNAcentral lists this ribosomal RNA (291 nucleotides) under uncultured Sphingobacteriales bacterium. Its description in RNAcentral is "partial 16S ribosomal RNA". It matches the Rfam family "Bacterial small subunit ribosomal RNA", at positions 1090 to 1382 of the family's 1533-position model. Lineage: Bacteria; Pseudomonadati; Bacteroidota; Sphingobacteriia; Sphingobacteriales. The record is from RNAcentral.